UACCGUUUUUAUACCAGCACAACACGAAAUGCUUAGCUCUCUACUACUCAUUAAGCCUCUAUUGUAAACGUUCACAUUCAGCACGGUUCUGCAUGCUCGCCCCGCGGCAACCGCCCCCGCCUGUCUCCCGCAAUCGUCGCUCUCUCCCGCAAUCCGCGUCCAGAUCCCGCGUCCGUGACAUCCUCCGCCCUGGAUCGCCGCGCUAGGCUCUCUCCGCGUCCGCCCUCUCCAUGGAGUUGUGCCCCCGUGUGCCCUCGCGCGAGCGACCUCUCCCCUGGUGCACCAUGCCCCGCCCGCCCUGCUCUCCGUCGCGCCCUUCCAGGGAUCCUCCAUCGCCGCUCCCGCCAUCAUCGCGCCCGCGCUCCAUCGAUGGAAGGUGUCGCCCCGCCAUCCUCGCCUCGCUCCCCGCGACACGCGGCGCCAGGUACUACUCCGCCUUCUCGACCUCGGCCUCCGCGGUGCCCGCCUGGCCUGCUGCGGUAACCGUUGCCAUGCUCGAAGCGGAUCCAGCACCCCAUCCCAACAUCUUCCUAAAAUCCUCGGAUCUGCCCCCUUCCUCCGCAGCUUGUGUCGCAUCUUCUAUCUAUUCACCAGCAAGGUACCUGGCACAGAACCCAGCCGAAUCCUAGAACCCAGCCGGAUCCUAGAAAUUUCCCAUUGGCAUCUGGUGACCGUAUCCGGUGGUUGGGCGUCAGACGCAGCGGGGCGGUACCGGUGCUUGGAGUUGGACCACCCGUGCAAGGCACCGUGGUGCGACGGGCCGCUCGGCGCGCUGGAGAGCAACGGGUGGGUGUACUCGGCGCACUGCUCCUUCAAGCUCUUUGUGGCCGAUGCGUCGUGGUGGUGCCUUGACGGGAAGUGGCUCUUCUUCUGGGGCGACUCUAACCACGUCGACACCAUCCGGAACCUCCUCACCUUCGUCCUCGGCAUCACGGACACGUCUGCUGUGACACGCCAGUUUGAUGCAGUGUUCACCAAUCCCAUUGGUGGGGCAGGGACUCUAAGGAUCACAAGCAUCUUCAACGGCCACUGGAACAUGAGCAUGAACUAUCUCGGCUUGCAUUCCCUCCGGAACAGAGGUUUCCGGCAGCUCAUCCGGUCCUACUUCAUGUCCGGUGAUCGUGUUCCAGACGUCAUGGUCCUGAACUCUCGCCUGCACGAUGGCUGCUACUGGACCAGCGUCCGCAUCUACGCGCAGGCUGCGGAUUUCGCAGCACAGUUCUGGUCCGGAGUCAUGGACAAAGUCCGGGCUCGUGGGCAUGCAGUGCCCAGGGUGUUCUACCGGACGCAGAUGCCUCAGAUGCAGGGAAAAACCACGCGACUCCCUUCACGGAAUUGAGAGAUGAAGCUGGUGUCACAUACUCACAUCCGCAGGGAUGGGUCACGUUGCAGACACUUCCUAAUGAAGUCCUUGUAGUGCUGCGAAAGGUAAUCAGAUUUUGUUAGUAGACAACACAAGGAAGGAAGCACAAGGAAGUUUAACCUGUAUAGCACAAGGAAGCAAGCAGCUCAGCCUCCAUUUUAUUUGGAAAAGUCUUAUACUUAUCAGAAGUAAGUUUUUGAUCCUCUAUUUUAUUACAGAUUUUGUGAUUCCAGAUCUGUUGACCUCAAGCCAGAUUGGGUACAACCUUAUUGUUGUUUUGUUGACCAACUCUAGAAAGAAAAGCUAAAACUCUACCCUCUGCGCCCACCUUCAAGGUCGCUCCCUAUCUUCCUUCACUCUCCAUCAAAGCUUUGCUCGCAUCAAAUUAAAUUUCUUUUCGUUACGAAUUUAGCUUCAUUAUAUAAUAUUUUGCUCAGUGAAUUGAUCAAGUUUGGUGCACGAGUGUCAUGCUCCUAGGUUUUGUACUAAUUGAAGAAGUAGCAAAUGUAGUUCGUGGUGGUGGUUUAAGUCAUGUCUGAUGAAAUUGAUGCUUAUAUAGAGGGGUUCUUUGUGCUUUCGAAAGAAUUCUGCAGGAAAAUCGACUGCAUUUGUUGUUCUUGGGUACACAAUGAAAGAUGGGAAGGCAUAUUUUCCCCCACAUGACAGUAUCUAUACAUAUUGCAGUUGAAAUGGAAAUAAUUGAAAUACAAGGUAUGUGCAGGUGCAGUCUAUUAUAUUGGAGUUAAGAGAGCGCUAGCUUGCAGUCACACUCGAUGAAGUCCUAUAGGGCUAGAUUUUAAAAGUAAGAUCCAGUACAAGGUUACUUCAAUUGCAAUUAGCGAUUAGCCAAAACUUUCAUCUUCGGUCUCACUAGGCCUCACUAGGCCUUUCAUCUUCAAAAGAAUUUAUAAAGAUAUUAUUUUUCAGUCUAUCUCUACAUCCCUCUCUCCAUCUUGUUAUGCAAUUAUGAGUUCAUUAGAUGUCAUUGAUCUAAAUUAAUUUCUAUCCAUUAUGAACUUAUUUUUAAUGAACCAUGCUCCUUCUUCGUUGCUCACAACAGGGUCCAUGUACUUGGCACAUGAUAUACAUAUACGAGAUGGACUUAAAAAUUAACAAAGGUCUUCUUUUGGUGGUAGAUAAUUUUGGUUUUCUUAUGAUUCUCUUUAUGAAGUGGGUGUGGUACCUCUAAACAAAUAGAUGAUCUGUUGACUUAUGGCAGUCAGGCAUUACAUUUUUUUGCAUGAAAUCGACAUCUGAGAAGUGAUAAUUUUGUUUUGAUCGCUUCUCUAUUGCAAGAUUUAGAUGGCUACUAUCCUUUGCAAUUGAUCAAGAAUGGUGAGCUAUUCUAAGGAAGCUUCUGAACAAUAUACCUGUUGUCCUGGAGUGUCACAGAUGGCAAAGAUUUGCGCUUAGAGAAGGAGGAAGAACGGUCGGUGCUAGAGUCAUCUCCAAAGUUCUUAGCUGAUCAGUUUCCACUUUCUUCUCUGUAGUCUGGUUGCAACUGUUGAUGGUUAGCACAUUCUUUAUCUUCAAUUAUUGGAAGAAACAUUUUUGCGCCAAUUACAUGAAAGUGGUUGCAGUUUUAAGGGUCUGUUCAAUCCCUCUCCAAGAUAUUGUAGGUGUAUGAAAUCUUCUAAGCAAACUGUUAAAUACAUUGCACCCGAUCAGAAGGGAUGCUCUAUAAUGCAGCCUGGUAAACCUCCCUCCUGGGCCCAGCUGUCCUCUGCUUUCAGUGUGAAACUACUGAUUUGGGUGUUGCUGAUUUUCAUCAUGAUUUUUUCAGUUUGUCUCAUCAUUUAUCAUGUAAUUUGCUAAACCUUUGGGCACAAUGUUCAUCAUUUAUCAUGCAUAUGCUAUUUUCUAUUGUAUUGGUUUAGGGUGUGAUCUCCGUACAUCGUGCUCCAGCCGCACUCAGAUCUAGCCUUGGCCGGGAGACACCGCGACAGAGGCUGGACGUGCUCUUCCCGUCCUCAUGCCCCAUGCCGCUGCGCGCUCUUCCCUUCACCUCUCACUACACGGCGGCUGCGGGGCAGGGGUGAAAGAGGCGAGGCUUCUCCAGCUUCUCGAGGCCGGAGACCGUUUGCUCAAGGGUGUCGUUCUUGACGGCCUCCUCCGACAGCGUGGACGCGUGGUUCUCAACCAUGGCCUUGGUCACGGCAGGAAGCAGAGCCUGGUGAGGUCCCAUUUCAUGUGCUUGUCAAUAGGUGUAUAUUAUAAUUCAGGUAAUAAUUUAGGUGCCAGAGAAGCUCCCAGUGCCCCAUGUGUUGGCAGCAUAUCAGCAUGAAAGAUCCUAUGAGCCAAGAGCUACUAGAGGCUGUUGAACAAGAGAGGAACAUCCGAUCUAAUCCUUCACGUAAUACUGCUGUUUUCCACCAUCCAAUGCUGGGUGAUUUUGAGGUUAAGAAACUCCAUCAAGAAAAGCAGUUAGGAAUGAUGGUGGACAAAGGCCUGGUAGCAACUAGGACAGGGUUGAGUCAGUACCACCUGUCUCACUGGCCUAGAAUGUUUGAGGUGAUCAGGAUGCUGGAAGGAGACAUGCUCACAGAGAGAUGGGAGGUGUCGCAGAACGUGGACAUGCCAGAGUUCGUCUCAUCGGAGCUCCUACUUCAAAAGUACAUGGAUUUUGCAGCGGACGAAUGCUCGCUUGGUGUAGAAGCCAUGGAGCUCUCUGGACUAAGGUGACCAUCUGAUCGAUCGAAUCGGCCAUCACACAGGUCGCAUAGGUGUCUUGCCAUAUCAAGCCUAUAUUAUUGUUGUAUUACAUUGGACACAUAGGGAAGGGAAAAAAUCCGGUGAAUUAUAGGGUGUGAUCUGUCUGCCUAUACUUGUGGUGGCAUUCAUUUGUGCAAAUGAUUUUGAUAUAUUGAUGUAGAGAAUAUAUAUGUUGUUUAUUUCUAUGUAAUCGUUGCACACUAUAAUUUUAUCAAACAACUUUUGUAUUGUUGCAAGGGGCGACAAAAAUCCA
Molecule: RNA transcript, 4328 nt
Organism: Zea mays
Lineage: Eukaryota; Viridiplantae; Streptophyta; Magnoliopsida; Poales; Poaceae
Exons: 7
Source: RefSeq, a predicted model, not a curated record